GAAGACGUGCCUCCAUCUUCAUACGCACACACACAUACUCGCCGACGUCUUCUUUGCCCAUAUAAUCCUUGUGCUACUGCUUUUGCGGUCGCGGCUCCGUGAGACCAAAAGCACCCGCUGCACUGCUCUUUUUUCUUUUCU
Caenorhabditis elegans is the source of this 141-nucleotide non-coding RNA. The record is from Ensembl. Lineage: Eukaryota; Metazoa; Nematoda; Chromadorea; Rhabditida; Rhabditidae.